Haliotis rubra (blacklip abalone) is the source of this 112-nucleotide long non-coding RNA. RefSeq lists it as uncharacterized. The record is from RefSeq and is a predicted model, not a curated record. The transcript is spliced from 3 exons. NCBI's taxonomy places the organism in Eukaryota, Metazoa, Mollusca, Gastropoda, Lepetellida, Haliotidae.
AUUGACAUUGACAGUUUCCUGGGGCUCCUUUCACAAAUCAACCUUUAGUAAGGUUAACCUUAGCUCCCAUUCUUAAACAUUGCACUAAGGUUACCUUACUGUUAGUGACUUA